GGGUCGGGCUCAGGCAUGACGUCACACACGGAAGUAUUUCCCGUACUACUGAGUAGCUGCAAAUGACAUUUGAAUGAUUUCUGACCAACCCGUCUUAAUCGCGUAAAUGUCUCCAACGGAAGAGUUGGUCAAGCAGUGGGAAAGUGAGCAGGAGCGUCUCAGAGAGCAGGUGGUGGAGGAGGACACGGAAGAUUGGCAGAAGAGUCCAAACUUCUCAGGGCUUCAAAGGGUCGCUGGGUUGGACCUUUCAUUCAUCAAAGGUGACAACGUCAAUGCCUGCUCCCAGCUCGUUGUGCUCAGCUACCCUGAUCUUAAGGUGCUCUAUGAGGACAGUCAAAUGGUGACCCUGACAGCACCGUACAUGGCAGGCUUUCUAGCCUUCAGAGAAACCCCUUUCCUCUUGGAAGCACUGCAGCGACUUGAAAGGGACAAGCCCGCACUUCUGCCUCAGGUGGUAUUUGUGGAUGGCAAUGGUCUCUUUCACUACAGAGAAUUUGGACUAGCAUGUCAUGUUGGAGUGCUGUCAGGGCUGCCGUGUGUUGGUGUUGCCAAGAACCUGCUCCAGGUCCAGGGAGUUUUCAAAAAUGAAGAACACCAGUCUCAGAUAUCAGCACUGCAGAAAGGUGGAGACUGCUUUCCACUCAGCGCUACCUCUGGCAAAGUGCUUGGAAAGGCACUACGUAGCUCAGAUAAGAGCACCAAGCCAGUCUAUGUGUCAGUUGGCCACAAGAUCAGUCUGGACACAGCCGUUCAGCUCACCCACUCCUGUAGCCGAUUCAGAGUCCCGGAACCAAUCAGACAGGCUGACUAUCGCUCCAGAGAGUACCUCCGUGCUCACUUCCCUACUGCAGAGACAGGAAGCACAGAACGAGGAGGCCAUAUGGAGGAGGGCAAUGAACCUGCUUCACUGAAUGGCAGAUUUGGGCCAAUUAAGCUAGAAUUGAAACAUGGACCACGCAAAUACGCUCCCAUGUGCAGACACACACACGCACACACACACAUACACACACACACGCAUUCACAUCGUUCACACUCUGGCGUCUCAUGGCAACACCCUGUAGUUUACACUCUGGCCCUGAGCCACUUAGGCAGGUAGUGGGCCUGUUUUGUACCCACACAAAAACAUACAUGCACAUACUACAUGGACUUUUUAUGCACACACAUUCACCGCAGUCUCACCCUCCCUCACUCUCUCAAAGCGACAUCCACUGCACCAAGCUAUUCCUUAUACGCUCAUAUAACAUUCACAUAGAUCUCCAACUUUUACCCUUCAAAUGAGCUCAUUUUAUUCCCAAUGGACAACUCCUCAUUCCAAGUGAUCCUCCUGCAGUGCAAGGAAUCAUUCAGGAAUAUUCAUAGUGGAUUUUUUUUUUCUCGAUUGCAUUCCAAUUUCAGUGCAACACACCUAGUCCCCUCCCAGCGGGGAAAUGGCUGGGUUAUUCUCACACUGAUGCAUGCAGAAUAGAACAUGAGAGUUUUUUUUUUUUGUUUAUUUUGAUUGGAUUUUUUAUUGUGAAUGCUUGCCCGUUGUACUAUCGACACAAAAGACACAACCGCAAAACACAAAUGUUCAAUCCCGAUUCAGGGUUCCUCAAUAAUUCAUAACGCUAUUGCGGUGCUCGGCACAGCGAGAGAGGGGAAGACAGUGAGGGAAAGGGAAAGCAGGAGGUGGAGGGGGGGGGGGGGGGGGUUUCCUAUGAAAGGGAGUGUUAAGAAGGGAAUUUUAACUGGAGACAGUGAAUGACUGACUACAAACAGCCUGUCAACCUCUCAAAUCUGUGCCCUCUCGUUUCUCCAUCUGACUUACAGUAUUCCUCAUUAGAUCCACUUUUCCCUUUCUCCUUGUCUCCUCGUUUAAGUAAUUCAGAGGUUUCCCUACUCUUUUAUUCUCUCCUCGUGUUUGUAUAAUCACCCCUCUACAGAGCCUUGAUCAGAGGGCAAGUCUUGCCAUUACAACCCGUCAGAACAUAAGCGAGAUAUGAGAGGGAGCAGGGGGUAUCUCAACUAGGUCGUUCCAAGGAAAAUGACCGCUGACCUUGAAUAUGUGAUCGCUCCCGCUUCUCCGUUGGGAGUUUACAUCAUCUCAUUUACAGUCCACCCUGCUCCCCGCUAGACUUUGAAGUGAGGGGGUCUGCACUCAUAAUAUGAAACCCUGUUUUCUUACUAUUCAGACAACCUCAAACCUCUUGGCCAUAUAGUCGAUGCUUUUUUUGCUUUUAAUUCCCGCCACGAUAUGGGCUGUAUCCUGUCACCUGGAGAGAGAGAGAGAGAGAGAGAGAGAGAGAGAGAGAGAGAGAGAGAGAGAGAGAGAGAGUGUGAGAGAGAGAGAGAGAGAGAGAGAGAGAGAGAGAGAGAGAGAGAGAUGGCAGGGGGUAACAAGAAAGUGUAAGAGUCUGCGCCGAAUGUGGGAAGGCGAGCAGGCGCGAUGGGAAAAUAAAGAAGGAGAAUAUGUCUGCCGGCGUUGUGCUCAUAGAAAGAGAAAUAAAAAUGAUUCUGAACCCAAUCUGCAGCAUUCCGAAAGAGCUGCAGCUGUCUGAUGCUCUACUGGAGGUAAUAAGUUUCUUCUGGUCUGCCUGGAGCAUUCAAACCUUCCGUCUCGAUAUAUUUUUCCAGUUUUAGUAAUUGAUUUUUCCUAUGAUUGCUGAAAGUCAGGUCUGAGUCUAUCAACACCCCAAGAUUUUGGACGUGAUCUUUUCAAGACAGUAACUCCAGGUGUUUUCUAACAACAAUCCUAUUUUCUUCAUUGCUAAAAACAAUUACCUCUGUUUUGUUUUGGAAAUGUUGGUUCAUCCAGUUGUUUGCUCUAAACGACGACACAAUGCGUUAAUUGAACUGCUGUUAUUUGGGGACAUUGAUAAAUAUAGCUGUGUCAUCUGCAUGACAAUGAUAGCCAACUUUAGCGUUCUGAGUCAUUUGACCCAAAUGGAACAAAUGCAGACUGAGCAAAAGGGGUGCGAAGACUGACCCUUGAGGGACCCCAUGUGUCAUGGCCAUUCAAAACUACCAAUGGUCACUAAGUAAGUAGGACAUGAACCAUUAACUUAAAAUAGGGCAUGAACCAUUCCAUUUAAUCCCACUAAAGUUUCCAACCCACGCAACAAUAUAUUGUAAUCAAUUACAUCAAAGGUUUUACUGAGAUCAAAUAAAACUUGCACUGAUACCUUGCUUGUGUUAACCUUCAAGCUAACAUCAUUUAGUACUUGAGGACUGUUGUUGUUGGAAACCUGACUGGAAUUUUUCAAAAUGUCUGUUCUGUAUACUUUCUUCAACCAUAAAGAGGAAGAUUGAUUAAUGGGUGGGAAUUAAUUUAUUUCACAAUUAAUAAUGUUAUGUUAAUGUUAUUCACUUUUUACUUGACAGUCUAACAUGAUUGUUUCUCAAUGCCCAGGCAAAGGCAUUGUUUUCCAACCUCAAUGUUGUUAUCCUCCUUGUAAUAAAAUAACUAUAGUGGGACUCAGGA
Molecule: RNA transcript, 3460 nt
Organism: Syngnathus acus (greater pipefish)
Lineage: Eukaryota; Metazoa; Chordata; Actinopteri; Syngnathiformes; Syngnathidae
Gene name: endonuclease V-like
Exons: 10
Source: RefSeq, a predicted model, not a curated record